This is a non-coding RNA of Phoenix dactylifera (date palm), 1920 nucleotides long. The record is from RefSeq and is a predicted model, not a curated record. NCBI's taxonomy places the organism in Eukaryota, Viridiplantae, Streptophyta, Magnoliopsida, Arecales, Arecaceae.
GGUUCCGGUACCGGUCUAGGACCGGACCGGUACGUACCGGCCGGUACGGCAUUCCAUGCUCUAGACCAUAUCCUUGAUAGUGAGCAUAAUUGUUUACUGGAUUCGUAUGCAAGUGAGGGUCUACGAGGUCAACAGUUUGAAAGUGUAUUAGUUCAUAAUGGUUAUACGAGGUCAUUGGAAUGAUGGGGGACCAAAUUGCAACAUAAAGCCUGUGUGGGAACAGAAAGAACAAAUGAGUUUAUCCUGACUCACUAGUGGUCCAGUAAUGCGAUAUGGGCACCAUAUCCCUAUGUCGGAUCACGUUACUAAUGCAUGACAAUAUUGGACUUGUAAGGAUAGGCUAUUGAUAAUCAGGAACCUUAGUUGAUCUAUCCUAGUAACAUAUCUAGCAUGUGCCUGAUUCUUCUUUAUCAAGAAGUUAGAUGGUAUAAGAAUUGCAUUAUUAUUAUGUUUGAGAUGUCCAAUUGUUGCUUUUCUUUGUUGUUCGUUACCUAGAUCAGACAUCUAUGGCUGGCAUGUCCGGGAAAACUUUUUUUGCCAAAUUAAUGGCGAUAAACAUACUUGCUUAUGUGUGAAACAAGUGUAUUUGUACCAAUUUAUCUUAGGCCAUGCAUAAUGGUGAAUGGACUAGAAGUUUGAUGAGUGGUUUGUGGUUGAUUAAGCAAUGACUCUAUCAAUCCUUAGUGGAUUAAGCUGAAUCAAUUCCUGGUAUGGACAUACAUAGCUAUCACAUGAAAACACAGUUACUCCAUAUUUCAAGAAUGGCCGGUUUCCACUUCAGGUGAACAGAUUCCUUGAAGUUGCAGUUUGACAUGGUUAAUUGGCAUGCCUAUAAAACUCGACCACAUUUGGAAAUGGCAGGAUGUUAGGUUCUGAUCGACAUGUUGAACCUGUCAUGCAUGUUGGAUCAGUUUGACAAACAUAUGGAUAUGGUUAAAAUUGCAGUACUUUGGAUAUCAAGAUCAUAUUUUAUCUAUUUGGCUUAAUUUUGUUUCCAAAUUUUCUAAACUACCUUUGAUCACUGCAUAAUGGGACAGUAUGUGCUUGCAGGUAGGUAUGCAAACAAAAGGAGUUAUUUUGGACGCUUUCAAGGAUAAUUUUGCUGGCCUGCUGAGCUAUAUAUUAAUCUGCUGAAUAAAUCUUCUUUGCUCAGGUGGUUUUGGGUGUUAGAAUAUCCCAUGUCUUGAGGGGACGCGCAUACCGCUGCUGACUGACUUGCAAUCUAUAGUGGAGUUGUUUCUGUAAAUGUGCAGGCAGGUGCUGCAGAUACAAGCGUAAGGAUGUUCUAGAGGCAUUGGAGGAUCCUCAAUACACUCGGGCAAGUUCGUUUUUGCUGUUUCAAGUCAAAGCUCGGCUGCGUACCAGGACCCCAGACGUAACCAUCCAUUCCAAACUGUUGCUUCGUGCGAUCCGAGCUGCUCACCACCGAGCCUUUCAGCAUCUCCCCUGCUCGGCAUCAGGGUCAAGUUCAAACUUGGAUUGGUCAACACCGGCGAUCCCAUGCGAUGAAACAAUGGAGCUGCUCCCGGAUUGUUAGGAAAAAGUACAACAUGAUAGCUGGCAAGAUAGUAUUGACGAGGGUUCUGGAUUUCGCUGUCGCAUUCACCAUCUUUGGCAACAGAAUGAAAUUGCAAGCAAGAAGGGAAGGUAUACCUUUCAAAGCAGAAAACUAUGCAAAAAUUUCUCAAGUUUUGACGACUUCCUUUUUGUUAAUAAAAAGAAUAUACUUACAGAGUUGGGAAACAGAUCCGAAUCUGAUUGAUAAUUCUCAAGUUUCCUAAUCUGGUGAGGUAGGAGUCUAUCGAGUCAUGUUGCUUUUAUUUGCAUAUUUUUAAAAGUCAAGCUGUCCUGAGCUCUUGGCUCAAUUAAUUGUAACAUCUACUGGUAUUUAUGCAAUCUAAGUAAUGAUAAUUCCAGGCC